UAUGCAAUGAGUUUAAGCUCAAAACAUCCUGCAAAUAUACAUACACAAAAUGAAAGAAAGAAAUAAAAAAGAAAAAAGAAAAAAUGGAAAAAUAGGUCACAUAUUUGUAUGUUUCUUGUUUUUCCAUUUUUUUUUUUUUUUUUUUUUUUCCUUUUUUUUUUUUUUUUUUUUUUUUCCUUUUUCUUUCUCCUAAUUUGUGUAAUUUUUAUAAAAACAGGAAGGAAGGUCUGAGAUGCUGCAUUUAAAGAAUAGAAAAGAAAAGUCAAUGAAUUUUAAUUUUUUUUUUUUUUUUUUUUAUAAUUCUUAUGAAUUAAAAAGAAAGAAAAAAAAAGUUAUAACAUUCGUUGUUACUUUUUAUUUCACAUAUGUAUAUAUAUAUUCUUUAAUAAAAUUUUUGAGAGAAAAAGUAUUGAACAAAUAUUAAUUAGUUACCAGAAAUAUCAAUCAUAUAUUUAAAAUUUCGUAAGAAGUUUUGUGUAUGGUUUUGAAAAAGCUAAUAAGCAAGUAUACAUUGGUGAGUUCGAUUUUUGAGGUUUUUCUUUAUUCCUACAUCUCAUAUAUCAAUAUUUUUUUUAUAAUUAUAUAUUAUACGAGGUGAUAAUAAGAAAAAUAACUUAAUUCAGACUACUCCUAAAUUCAUUGCUGCAA
Molecule: RNase P RNA, 648 nt
Filed under: Plasmodium falciparum FCH/4
Lineage: Eukaryota; Apicomplexa; Aconoidasida; Haemosporida; Plasmodiidae
Description: Plasmodium RNase_P
Rfam family: Plasmodium RNase_P
Source: Rfam by way of RNAcentral